RNAcentral lists this long non-coding RNA (473 nucleotides) under Fukomys damarensis (Damara mole-rat). RNAcentral's name for it is "lncRNA (ENSFDAG00000030711.1)". Lineage: Eukaryota; Metazoa; Chordata; Mammalia; Rodentia; Bathyergidae. The record is from RNAcentral.
GCCUAUCUAGACUUUGAUGUGGGGAAAAAAAAAAACAUGUAUCAUACGAAAGCCACUUUUUGAAGGUGUCUUACUGUCAUAAUAGCCAAAUGGAUACCCUAAAUAAUACAGCAACUAAAUAUUGAAAGGGACUACUAGGAAAAGGAAGCAACCAUGCCUAGUGGGGAGAUCACUAAUACAACUAUUUUAUUUGAUUUCCCCACCAAUCCUAUGAGGAAGACGUUUGAAUGUUGGUAUGCAGCUACCAUUAAUCUUGCAGGUCACUAAAAAGAAUUUUCUUGUGUUUGUGGCUAAUUCCUCAAUGGCAGCAGCCCAAACAGGGGACAGGAGGGAUGGCUGCCUCAGCUACUUAAGUCAAAAAUAAACACAGGACAGAAGGAUCCUGGGAGUCCUGUGGCUGUUCCAUUCUCAAUCAGCCAUGCCAUGUUGUGUGAGUCUGAGUGGGUCUGGUCUGAAAACUUAGCUGCACACAA